GAGUUGGAUUUAGACUGGCUGCUGGUCUUCUUGUUGUUGAGAAGCCUUGCUGCAACUAAUUUUCUAAAGGACCUUUCAGAAUGGCACCUUGCUUAACUGAGUGGUUGUGCUGACUGAAUUUUUCCAUUGCUGAAGAAUCCAUCAGAGCCUCUGAUGUGCCUUGAAUCACUUCUGGCAAAGGAUCAUAGUGUAGAGUCUUUGGGGCUACAGAUGAAUUCCUGUAGAGCUCUGUGUACUUCAAGAUGUAUUACUGCUGUGAUUUAAAUGGAGUAUUGAGAGUUAUGCUGUGACUCUGGAUCUCUUGGAAGGAGAAAAAUAGGCAGAAGCAGAAUAUUAAAGAACAUAAUUGGGAUGUAGAAGCAGCUAUCCUGGAAGAUUUAUCAUCAUUAGCAGUUAGUUAUGGAUUUUUUAUGAGAAGUAUACUUCCUCCAGACCAUCAUUUUUAAUAGCAUCCAUCAGUGUUAUUAAGUAGGACCGUUCUUCCCAAAGUUCUCUAAACCUUCUCUUAACCCGUUUAUAGCUUUUUUUUAAAAAAAAACAUCCUCUGCCAAUUGAUGAAUUCUAGAAUAAUUAUGUGUUGUAUCAAAGAAAUAACUUGUUUGGUUUAAGUUUCAGUCUGAUUUUCUAAUUUGUGUGAUACGGGAAAUAGUGAGAGAUGUUUUCCUAGUUAGUUUUCUAUUCUUUUCCUAGUUUUACAUGACUUUAUCACAUUCUGUUGGGUUGCCUCUUUUUGAGGCAGGGUAACCUUGGUCUCUUUUCAGUCUGUACUCAUGUAAGAACUAUUCCAUCUCUCUCCUAACCUAUUCUAGUUCCUCUGUGUGUUUUGCGAAGUGAAGAGUGCUUUCAUUUCAUCCCAUUUUCACCUCACUCAUAAAUAUAUUAGAUAGCCCAAAUCCCACAGCCCAAGUUCUAGAAGAUUCUAUACUUCUAUUCAAUGUGAAAGCUGACAGUUUUUACCUGAAACUGAUUUUCUGUCUUUAAGUAGUUAUUAAUCCACAGAAAGAUCUUUCUAUGUACUUCAUCAAGCUUAAUUGCUUCAAGUUCUGUCUAUAAGAACAUUUUUUUCUUAAGAUUUUUGCAGUAGCUCAGCAUACUUUACCAGGCAGAUCACUAUCGGACAUUCAUGCUCAUUGAUACAGUUGAAAAAAACAAACCAACAUAUUCAUGUAAUUCUUGCUUCUUACAGGGAUGCUAAUUUUCACGAAGAUAUAUUUGUGGGACUAGCAGAAUCAUCAAUAGCAAUGUCACAACACAUGGAUUUUAACUGUUGUCUUUUCGAGUCACUGAAUUGUGUAAAAAAUUUUUCAGAAAGAUGAAAAUGAUAGCUUUAAAUACCAAAAGACCAUAAUAGCUAUGUUAAUUCCUCUAUUAUUUCUUUUUUCCGUACCCUUUAGACAUAGGCUUAGAACCUGAACACAGCCCCCAGAUUUUGAGUAAGAUACAUAUGGAUACAAACUUUGUAGUGUGGAAUCUAGCUUUAGUUGAGGAAGAUCAGGAGCUAUUGAAGUGAACAAAUGGAAAUUGUUGGUACAUAAGGAAAAGCUAUUCCUUCUGGCAUAGAGCAAACUCUGUGAUGCAAGUCAAUAUGUGAAAUUACUGUUCUAGACCACCAGUGAUGUAUAUGACUCAACAUCUGCCACAUUCAUCUACACAUUGUGUAAAAUAUUCUCCCCUGUGAUGGUUUUCACAGUGAUUGUAAGGGAUAGAAUGCUGGACUGGCAGCUCAGGCGUGUGUGCAGAAUAAAUAAAUAAAUACUACUGCAGUGUAACUUAUAUCCUGCUAUUGCACAAGGAUGUAAGAAAAAUGGUGCGCCCACUCUGUCUAUGACUUCUAUGAGCCCUUGUUGAGUAAAUAAGGACAGUC
RNAcentral lists this long non-coding RNA (1864 nucleotides) under Gallus gallus (chicken). RNAcentral's name for it is "lncRNA (ENSGALG00010008898.1)". Lineage: Eukaryota; Metazoa; Chordata; Aves; Galliformes; Phasianidae. The record is from RNAcentral.